This 466-nucleotide ribosomal RNA is filed under the name uncultured bacterium. RNAcentral's name for it is "partial 16S ribosomal RNA". It matches the Rfam family "Bacterial small subunit ribosomal RNA", at positions 28 to 507 of the family's 1533-position model. The record is from RNAcentral.
GACGAACGCUGGCGGCGUGCUUAACACAUGCAAGUCGAACGGAAAGGCCCUGCUUGCAGGGUCCUCGAGUGGCGAACGGGUGAGUAACACGUGGGUGAUCUGCCCUGCACUUCGGGAUAAGCUUGGGAAACUGGGUCUAAUACCGGAUAGGAGCCAUCUUUAGUGUGGUGGUUGGAAAGUUUUUUCGGUGUAGGAUGAGCUCGCGGCCUAUCAGCUUGUUGGUGGGGUAAUGGCCUACCAAGGCGGCGACGGGUAGCCGGCCUGAGAGGGUGUACGGCCACAUUGGGACUGAGAUACGGCCCAGAGUCCGACGGGAGGCAGCAGGGGGGAAUAUUGCACAAUGGGCGCAAGCCUGAUGCAGCGACGCCGCGUGGGGGAUGAAGGCCUUCGGGUUGUAAACUCCUUUCGCUAGGGACGAAGCUUUUUUGUGACGGUACCUAGAUAAGAAGCACCGGCUAACUACGUG